This 29-nucleotide non-coding RNA is filed under the name Mus musculus (house mouse). Lineage: Eukaryota; Metazoa; Chordata; Mammalia; Rodentia; Muridae. The record is from RNAcentral.
UGGAUUUCUAAUGGUCUUGAGAUGAAAGA